AAUAAAAGAACAGAGCUUCAUGUCUUCAUCUUUCUGGGUUUUUCACCAGCACACUCCCAUCGAAUGUCUCUCUCAUUCCCAAUUCUGAUAUUCAAACCCUCUCUUCUCUCUCAUUGCCACUAGAGUCUCUCUCGGUCUCACUAGAGUCUCUACUCGUUCACACAGUCACCUUGCUUCUUUGACAAGAAGAGCUUGAUGCGACGGUAGCUCUCAAACAUGGUUCGAACCUCAUCUUUGUUCCUCUGCUUGGUGACGACCUCAUCCUGUGACAGAGGCGGAGAAGGAGAAGUAGGCGGACGAGCUAGGGUUUGAGAGAGAUCAAGUAGAGAGAGAGAGGAUAGGAAGAGGAGAGAAGAAGAUGAAGAAGGUUAAACCUUCAGAGGCGUGAUGAAGAACAAUUUUGGUUCUUUGUUUUUUUUAAUAUGUUUAAGGUAGAUGAAG
This 441-nucleotide long non-coding RNA is filed under the name Arachis ipaensis. RNAcentral describes it as "long non-coding RNA (AIPA_LNC001905)". The record is from RNAcentral. Lineage: Eukaryota; Viridiplantae; Streptophyta; Magnoliopsida; Fabales; Fabaceae.